GCGGUAAUUCCAGCUCCAGUAGCGUAUAUUAAAGUUGUUGCAGUUAAAAAGCUCGUAGUUGGAUUUCUGACGAACCGUUGCGGCCCGUGCUCGUUUCGGGCGUGUGUGCCGUGUCGUGUUCGUCAUCCUUCCAGAAAGCUGCGUCUACCAUUUACUUGGCCGGACGUACGUGAUCUGGAUCGAUUACUUUGAAAAAAUUAGAGUGUUUAAAGCAGGCUUAUGCUGUGAAUACAUUAGCAUGGAAUAAUAAUUUAGGACUUCGGUUCUAUUUUGUUGGUUUCUAGGACUGAAGUAAUGAUUGAUAGGGACAGUUGGGGGUGCUAGUAUUCCGCGGCCAGAGGUGAAAUUCUUGGAUUCGCGGAAGACUAACUACUGCGAAAGCAUUCACCAAGGAUGUCUUCUUUAAUCAAGAACGAAAGUUGGGGGAUCGAAGACGAUCAGAUACCGUCGUAGUCUCAACCAUAAACUAUACCGACUAAGGAUCAGUGAACGUUGAUUUACGACUUCAUUGGCACUUUGUGAGAAAUCAAAGUCUUUGGGUUCCGGGGGGAGUAUGGUCGCAAGGCUGAAACUUAAAGGAAUUGACGGAAGGGCACCACCAGGAGUGGAGCCUGCGCCUUAAUUUGACCCAACACGGGAAAACUUACCAGGUCCAGACAUAGUGAGGAUUGACAGAUUGAAGAUCUUUCUUGAUUCUAUGGGUGGUGGUGCAUGGCCGUUCUUAGUUGGUGGAGUGAUUUGUCUGGUUAAUUCCGUUAACGAACGAGACCUCGACCUGCUAAAUAGUACUAGUUAUCCUUGGAUAAUCUAGGCACUUCUUAGAGGGACUAUCGGCGGUGUACCCGAUGGAAGUUCGAGGCAAUAACAGGUCUGUGAUGCCCUUAGAUGUUCUGGGCUGCACGCGCGCUACACUGAUACGUUCAUCGAGCUUACAACUUUGACUGGAAGGUCUGGGUAAUCUUCAAAUGCGUAUCGUGAUGGGGAUAGAUUAUUGUAAUUUUUGAUCUUCAACGAGGAAUUCCUAGUAAACGCGCGUCACUAACGCGCAUUGAUUACGUCCCUGCCCUUUGUACACACCGCCCGUCGCUACUACCGAUUGGAUGGUUUAGUGAGGUUCACGGAUUGUUGCGCUUGGUCGGUUCUCCGAUCCUGCGUAUACGAGAAGUGAAACAAACUUGAUCAUCUAGAGGAAGUAAAAGUCGUAACAAGGUU
RNAcentral lists this ribosomal RNA (1212 nucleotides) under metagenome. Its description in RNAcentral is "SSU rRNA". It matches the Rfam family "Eukaryotic small subunit ribosomal RNA", at positions 576 to 1801 of the family's 1831-position model. The record is from RNAcentral.